Long non-coding RNA from Megalops cyprinoides (Indo-Pacific tarpon), 442 nucleotides. RefSeq lists it as uncharacterized. NCBI's taxonomy places the organism in Eukaryota, Metazoa, Chordata, Actinopteri, Elopiformes, Megalopidae. The record is from RefSeq and is a predicted model, not a curated record. The transcript has 8 exons.
CAUGUCGCCUGGAAUUGACAGUGGUUUCGAAAUGAAGUUUACCACUAAAGUCCCUGACUUAAUGGGUACCAUGGAUGAUGAUUUGGGAUGAGAUCUUCACAUCUCCUGAAUUGACAAAGAAGUCAGACUGCUUCAACGCUAUACAGCUUGGUGAGAAGGAGCAUGGAAUUGAGGUUUCAGCUUUCAGGAUGUGAGCACAAGAACUCCAGAAUAUGGAGGAUUUGAGCGCCAUCUUCAGAAAUGGAUUGUGAAGGACCAUACUGUCUUUGAAGUUGGGACUGCAUGCCAAAUCAUUGUGAUAGAGCAAUUGGUGUGGAAAGGUGACAGACUGGAGGGUCCACUUUCCCCGGACGUGUUGGUCAAUAAAUGGAAAUACCGGGCAAGAUCUUCAAGGAUACCCACUUGUUUGUUUGAAAUAAAAUAAAAAAUUCUCAGCUUUAAA